RNAcentral lists this ribosomal RNA (253 nucleotides) under uncultured bacterium. Its description in RNAcentral is "partial 16S ribosomal RNA". It matches the Rfam family "Bacterial small subunit ribosomal RNA", at positions 524 to 776 of the family's 1533-position model. The record is from RNAcentral.
UACGUAGGGGGCUAGCGUUGUCCGGAAUCAUUGGGCGUAAAGGGCGCGUAGGCGGCCCGGUAAGUAGGGGGUGAAAUCCUGCGGCUUAACCGCAGGGCUGCCUUCUAAACUGUCGGGCUCGAGCACGGUAGAGGCAGAUGGAAUUCCCGGUGUAGCGGUGGAAUGCGUAGAGAUCGGGAAGAACAUCAGUGGCGAAGGCGGUCUGCUGGGCCGUUGCUGACGCUGAGGCGCGAAAGCGUGGGGAGCAAACAGG